CGCUAUCACUCCUACGGGAGGCAGCAGUGGGGAAUAUUGCACAAUGGGCGCAAGCCUGAUGCAGCCAUGCCGCGUGUAUGAAGAAGGCCUUCGGGUUGUAAAGUACUUUCAGCAGUGAGGAAGGCGGAGUCGUUAAUAGCGGCCUCGUUUGACGUUAGCUGCAGAAGAAGCACCGGCUAACUCCGUGCCAGCAGCCGCGGUAAUACGGAGGGUGCGAGCGUUAAUCGGAAUUACUGGGCGUAAAGCGCAUGCAGGUGGUUUGUUAAGUCAGAUGUGAAAGCCCGGGGCUCAACCUCGGAAUUGCAUUUGAAACUGGCAGGCUAGAGUCUUGUAGAGGGGGUAGAAUUUCAGGUGUAGCGGUGAAAAUGCGUAGAGAUCUGAAGGAAUACCAGUGGCGAAGGCGGCCCCCUGGACAAAGACUGACGCUCAGAUGCGAAAGCGUGGGGAGCAAACAGGAUUAGAUACCCUGGUAG
RNAcentral lists this ribosomal RNA (473 nucleotides) under uncultured bacterium. Its description in RNAcentral is "bacterial SSU rRNA". It matches the Rfam family "Bacterial small subunit ribosomal RNA", at positions 328 to 793 of the family's 1533-position model. The record is from RNAcentral.